RNAcentral lists this ribosomal RNA (253 nucleotides) under uncultured bacterium. Its description in RNAcentral is "partial 16S ribosomal RNA". It matches the Rfam family "Bacterial small subunit ribosomal RNA", at positions 524 to 776 of the family's 1533-position model. The record is from RNAcentral.
GACGAACCGAGCGAACGUUGUUCGGAAUCACUGGGCUUAAAGGGCGCGUAGGCGGGCUGUCGCGUCCGGGGUGAAAUCCCACGGCUCAACCGUGGAACGGCCUCGGAUACGGGCGGCCUCGAGGGGGGUAGGGGCAUGCGGAACUGUGAGUGGAGCGGUGAAAUGCGUUGAUAUUCACAGGAACUCCGGUGGCGAAGGCGGCGUGCUGGACCCCAUCUGACGCUGAGGCGCGAAAGCCAGGGGAGCGAACGGG